RNAcentral lists this ribosomal RNA (500 nucleotides) under Corytophanes cristatus. RNAcentral describes it as "partial 16S ribosomal RNA". It matches the Rfam family "Bacterial large subunit ribosomal RNA", at positions 1817 to 2597 of the family's 2925-position model. The record is from RNAcentral. Lineage: Eukaryota; Metazoa; Chordata; Lepidosauria; Squamata; Corytophanidae.
AGCCAUUAGCCAAGCAAGUAUUAAAGGUAACGCCUGCCCAGUGAGAACACACUUCUUAAACGGCCGCGAGACAAACCGUGCGAAGGUAGCGCAAUCACUUGUCUCCUAAAUAGAGACCGGUAUGAAAGGCCUCAUGAGAAAGAAACUGUCUCUUGAAGAUAGCCAAUGAAACUGAUCUGCCUGUGCAAAAGCAGGCAUAACGAAACAAGACAAAAAGACCCUGUGAAACUUCAAAUUAAACGCCAACCGCCUGGCGCAAAUUUUGGGUUGGGGCAACCAAAGAGAAACAAAACCUCUUCCUACAUACCAGACCAACAAGUCAAAUUAAACACACACGACCCAGUAUAACUGAUCAAUGAACCAAGCUACUCCAGGGAUAACAGCGCUAAAUUCUUGAAGAGUUCACAUCAACAAGAAUUCUUACGACCUCGAUGUUGGAUCAGGAUAACCUAACAGUGCAAAAGCUGCUGACGGUUCGUUUGUUCAACGAUUAAUAUCCU